GCUCAAAUUUGAAAUCUCCCUUUGGGGCGAAUUGUAGUUUAUAGAAGUGUUUUCUGGGAUAGCCCGGGUGUAGGUCCUUUGGAACGAGGCAUCAUAGAGGGUGAGAAUCCCGUGCCGCCUGGCGUCUAUUCCUUUGUGAUACACUUUCUACGAGUCGGGUUGUUUGGGAUUGCAGCCCAAAAUGGGUGGUAAAUACCAUCUAAAGCUAAAUAUUGGCGAGAGACCGAUAGCGAACAAGUACCGUGAGGGAAAGAUGAAAAGAACUUUGAAAAGAGAGUUAAACAGUACGUGAAAUUGCCAAAAGGGAAGCGCUUGGAACCAGUGUUGCAAUCCGUAAUCAGCCAGUCUUAGACUGGUGCACUUGCGGUGAGCAGGUCAGCAUCAGUUUAGUCUGGGCUAAAAAGCUUGCGACGUCCCUUCGGGGUCUGCGUUUGUUAUGGCCUGGACUAGACUGAGGUCCGCUUUCACAGGAUGCUGACAAAAUGGUUUCAAACGACCCGUCUUGAAACACGGACCAAGGAGUCUAACAAAUACGCGAGUAUUCGGGUGGCAAACCCUUAUGCGCAAUGAAAGUGAAAUUGGUGGGAACCUCGGUGCACCAUCGACCGGUCUGGAUUUUUUUGAUAGAUCUGAGUAAGAGCGUAUCUGUUAGGACCCGAAAGAUGGUGAACUAUGCCUGAAUAGGGUGAAGCCAGAGGAAACUCUGGUGGAGGCUCGUAGCGAUUCUGACGUGCAAAUCGAUCGUCAAAUUUGGGU
This 756-nucleotide ribosomal RNA is filed under the name Allochytridium luteum. RNAcentral's name for it is "eukaryotic LSU rRNA". It matches the Rfam family "Eukaryotic large subunit ribosomal RNA", at positions 107 to 916 of the family's 3401-position model. The record is from RNAcentral. Lineage: Eukaryota; Fungi; Chytridiomycota; Chytridiomycetes; Cladochytriales; Septochytriaceae.